GGCGGCGUGCUUAACACAUGCAAGUCGUACGAGAACUCUUCUGCUUGCAGAAGAUAGUAAAGUGGCGCACGGGUGAGUAACGCGUGGGUAAUCUACCUCUAAAUCGGGAUAACCCGCCGAAAGGCGAGCUAAUACCGGAUAAUAUCUUUAAAACUUAGGUUUUUUAAGAUCAAAGGUGGUCUCUACAUGUAAGCUACUGUUUGGAGAUGAGCCCGCGUACCAUUAGCUUGUUGGUAGGGUAAUGGCCUACCAAGGCCGCGAUGGUUAGCUGGUCUGAGAGGAUGAUCAGCCACACUGGAACUGACACACGGUCCAGACUCCUACGGGAGGCAGCAGUGAGGAAUUUUGCGCAAUGGGGGAAACCCUGACGCAGCAACGCCGCGUGAGUGAUGAAGGCUUUCGGGUCGUAAAGCUCUGUCAAGUGGGAAGAAAAUGCUAGAUGCUAAUACCAUCUUGCACUGACGGUACCACUAAAGGAAGCACCGGCUAACUCCGUG
Molecule: ribosomal RNA, 497 nt
Filed under: uncultured bacterium
Lineage: Bacteria
Description: bacterial SSU rRNA
Rfam family: Bacterial small subunit ribosomal RNA
Source: RNAcentral